This 269-nucleotide ribosomal RNA is filed under the name uncultured Planctomycetales bacterium. RNAcentral describes it as "partial 16S ribosomal RNA". It matches the Rfam family "Bacterial small subunit ribosomal RNA", at positions 565 to 832 of the family's 1533-position model. The record is from RNAcentral. Lineage: Bacteria; Pseudomonadati; Planctomycetota; Planctomycetia; Planctomycetales.
GAGCACGUAGGUGGGUUUGUAAGUCAGAUGUGAAAGUCUUCUGUUCAACGGAAGAAUUGCAUCUGAAACUGCGAGUCUUGAGUGUAGGAGGGGAGAAUGGAACUUCUGGUGGAGCGGUGAAAUGCGUAGAUAUCAGAAGGAACUCCGGCGGCGAAAGCGAUUCUCUGGCCUAUUACUGACACUCAGUGUGCGAAAGCUAGGGGAGCAAACGGGAUUAGAUACCCCGGUAGUCCUAGCCGUAAACGAUGGGCACUAAGUAGAGGGGUUUU